AUGUUUUGUAGAAUGUAUCGCCUUUGAUAAGGCGAAGUCUAAAUACAACUUUCAACAACGGAUCUCUUGGUUCUCGCAUCGAUGAAGAACGCAGCGAAAUGCGAUAAGUAAUGUGAAUUGCAGAAUUCAGUGAAUCAUCGAAUCUUUGAACGCACCUUGCGCUCCUUGGUAUUCCGAAGGGCAUGCCUGUUUGAGUGUCAUUAUAUUCUCAACUCUCUUGAUUUUUUUUGGACCGCUUGAGUUGGAUUUGGAGGUAUGCUGGCCGUUAGGGAUCGGCUCCUCUUAAACAUUAGCUAAGCUUUUACUUGAUGGCAUGUGUAGUAAUUAUCUUCACCAGUGUAGCUAGCGAAAUAGGGUUGCUUCGAAUCGUAUCCUGUCGGGAGCAUAAUAAGAAAAAGGGCAACCUUUCUCCUUGGCUCUCUUGACCUUAACGAGUAGGACUACC
RNAcentral lists this ribosomal RNA (445 nucleotides) under Fuscoporia gilva. RNAcentral's name for it is "eukaryotic LSU rRNA". The stretch from base 47 to 200 matches the Rfam family "5.8S ribosomal RNA". Lineage: Eukaryota; Fungi; Basidiomycota; Agaricomycetes; Hymenochaetales; Hymenochaetaceae. The record is from RNAcentral.